UUGUCCGGAUUGUACUGGGUGUAAAGGGCGUGUAGCCGGGUCGGCAAGUCAGAUGUGAAAUCCACGGGCUUAACUCGUGAACUGCAUUUGAAACUGUUGAUCUUGAGUAUCGGAGAGGCAAUCGGAAUUCCUAGUGUAGCGGUGAAAUGCGUAGAUAUUAGGAGGAACACCAGUGGCGAAGGCGGAUUGCUGGACGACAACUGACGGUGAGGCGCGAAAGCGUGGGGAGCAAACAGGAUUAGAUACCCUGGUAGUCCACGCUGUAAACGAUGAAUACUAGGUGUGCGGGAACUGACCCCCUGCGUGCCGCAGCUAACGCAAUAAGUAUUCCACCUGGGGAGUACGAUCGCAAGGUUGAAACUCAAAGGAAUUGACGGGGGCCCGCACAAGCGGUGGAUUAUGUGGUUUAA
RNAcentral lists this ribosomal RNA (410 nucleotides) under uncultured bacterium. Its description in RNAcentral is "bacterial SSU rRNA". It matches the Rfam family "Bacterial small subunit ribosomal RNA", at positions 541 to 949 of the family's 1533-position model. The record is from RNAcentral.